RNAcentral lists this ribosomal RNA (547 nucleotides) under uncultured bacterium. RNAcentral's name for it is "partial 16S ribosomal RNA". It matches the Rfam family "Bacterial small subunit ribosomal RNA", at positions 355 to 895 of the family's 1533-position model. The record is from RNAcentral.
UGGGGAAUUUUGGACAAUGGGCGAAAGCCUGAUCCAGCAAUGCCGCGUGUGUGAAGAAGGCCUUCGGGUUGUAAAGCACUUUUGUCCGGAAAGAAAUCCUUGGCUCUAAUACAGUCGGGGGAUGACGGUACCGGAAGAAUAAGCACCGGCUAACUACGUGCCAGCAGCCGCGGUAAUACGUAGGGUGCAAGCGUUAAUCGGAAUUACUGGGCGUAAAGCGUGCGCAGGCGGUUUGCUAAGACCGAUGUGAAAUCCCCGGGCUCAACCUGGGAACUGCAUUGGUGACUGGCAGGCUAGAGUAUGGCAGAGGGGGGUAGAAUUCCACGUGUAGCAGUGAAAUGCGUAGAGAUGUGGAGGAAUACCGAUGGCGAAGGCAGCCCCCUGGGCCAAUACUGACGCUCAUGCACGAAAGCGUGGGGAGCAAACAGGAUUAGAUACCCUGGUAGUCCACGCCCUAAACGAUGUCAACUAGUUNUUGGGGAUUCAUUUCCUUAGUAACGUAGCUAACGCGUGAAGUUGACCGCCUGGGGAGUACGGUCGCAAGAUU